Molecule: long non-coding RNA, 230 nt
Organism: Oxyura jamaicensis (ruddy duck)
Lineage: Eukaryota; Metazoa; Chordata; Aves; Anseriformes; Anatidae
Exons: 3
Source: RefSeq, a predicted model, not a curated record
UGAAAGUGCAAGAUCAAGCAUAAAACAAGUAAUCUGCAAUUGCCAGCUUCUUUUCCCAUGAAAAAGGAGCUCUUGUAGUCAACCCAGAAACAGAAUACCAAAUCCCACUUGUGUUCAGAGCUGCAAAGAGAGCCAAGGCAAGGAGAAUGUUUUUUGCUUCCACCUCUCAAGGAAUGCUUGCAAUGUCUAGCCACUGUAUGAACUGACAGACAUGGGUCACUUCACAGGAA